CCAUGCAUGUCUCAGUACUAACCGCUUUAAGGCGAAACCGCGAAUGGCUCAUUAAAUCAGUUAUGGUUCCUUGGAUCUUACCCACAUUUACAUGGAUAACUGUGGUAAUUCUAGAGCUAAUACAUGAACCUCGUACCCCGACCAGUGAUGGAAGGGGCGCUUUUAUUAGAACAAAACCAAUCGGUCGGCUCGUCCGUCCGUUGCCUUGGUGACUCUGAAUAACUUUUGGCUGAUCGCACGGUCCUGGCACCGGCGACGCAUCUUUCAAAUGUCUGCCUUAUCAACUUUCGAUGGUAGGUUCUGCGCCUACCAUGGUUGUAACGGGUGACGGGGAAUCAGGGUUCGAUCCCGGAGAGGGAGCCUGAGAAACGGCUACCACAUCCAAGGAAGGCAGCAGGCGCGCAAAUUACCCACUCCCGGAACGGGGAGGUAGUGACGAAAAAUAACGAUACGGGACUCAUCCGAGGCCCCGUAAUCGGAAUGAGAACACUUUAAAUCCUUUAACGAGGAUCUAUUGGAGGGCAAGUCUGGUGCCAGCAGCCGCGGUAAUUCCAGCUCCAAUAGCGUAUAUUAAAGUUGUUGCGGUUAAAAAGCUCGUAGUCGGAGGUGUGUCUCGGACGGUCGGUUCGCCGCUUGUCGGUGCUCAACUGGCCGGUCCGGACGUCCUGCCGGUGGGGCCGCAAGGCCCCGUCAUCCUUCUUUGGUCCUCUUCACCGAGUGCCUUGGUGGGCCGGCACGUUUACUUUGAACAAAUUAGAGUGCUCAAAGCAGGCCGUUGGUCGCCUGAAUACUGUGUGCAUGGAAUAAUGGAAUAGGACCUCGGUUCCAUUUUGUUGGUUUUCAGAACUCGAGGUU
RNAcentral lists this ribosomal RNA (855 nucleotides) under Pseudagrion indicum. RNAcentral's name for it is "SSU rRNA". It matches the Rfam family "Eukaryotic small subunit ribosomal RNA", at positions 49 to 865 of the family's 1831-position model. The record is from RNAcentral. Lineage: Eukaryota; Metazoa; Arthropoda; Insecta; Odonata; Coenagrionidae.